CCUACGGGUGGCAGCAGUGAGGAAUAUUGGUCAAUGGCCGUAACCCUGAACCAGCCAAGCAGCGUGAGGGAAGACUGCCCUCUGGGUUGUAAGCCCUUUUUACGCGGGGAUAAAGGUGUCUACGUGUGGAUGUAUGCAGGUACAGCAUGAAUCAGGACCGGCUAAUUCCGUGCGAGCAGCCGCGGUUAUACGGAGGGUCCGGGCGUUAUCCGGAUGUAUGCGGUUAAAAGGGCGCGCAGGCAGGUCUCUAGGCGUGCCGUGAAAGUUUGUGGCGCAACCACGGGAGUGCGGCGGGAACUGGGUAGCUGGAGUGCAGGGAGGGCAGGCGGAAUUCGUGGUGUAGCGGUGAAAUGCGUAGAGAUCACGAAGAACCCUGAUUGCGAAGGCGACCUGCCGCAGCGUUACUGACGCUGAAGCUCGAAAGCGCGGGGAGCGAACAGGAUUAGAUACCCGAGUAGUC
RNAcentral lists this ribosomal RNA (460 nucleotides) under uncultured bacterium. Its description in RNAcentral is "partial 16S ribosomal RNA". It matches the Rfam family "Bacterial small subunit ribosomal RNA", at positions 338 to 795 of the family's 1533-position model. The record is from RNAcentral.